AACGAACGCUGGCGGCAGGCCUCAAACAUGCAAGUCUAGGGGGUGUAGCAAUACAUCACCGGCGGACGGGUGCGUAACACGUGGGAAUAUACCUUUUGGUUCGGAACAACGCAGGGAAACUUGCGCUAAUACCGAAUGUGCCCUUACGGGGAAAGAUUUAUCGCCAAAGGAUUAGCCCGCGUCCGAUUAGCUAGUUGGUGAGGUAACGGCUCACCAAGGCUCCGAUCGGUAGCUGUUCUGAGAGGAAGAUCAGCCACACUGGGACUGAGACACGGCCCAGACUCCUACGGGAGGCAGCAGUUGGGAAUCUUGGACAAUGGGGGAAACCCUGAUCCAGCCAUGCCGCGUGAGUGAUGAAGGCCUUCGGGUUGUAAAACUCUUUCGACGGGGACGAUAAUGACGGUACCCGUAGAAGAAGCUCCGGCUAACUUCGUGCCAGCAGCCGCGGUAAU
Molecule: ribosomal RNA, 452 nt
Filed under: uncultured bacterium
Lineage: Bacteria
Description: bacterial SSU rRNA
Rfam family: Bacterial small subunit ribosomal RNA
Source: RNAcentral